Long non-coding RNA from Astyanax mexicanus (Mexican tetra), 449 nucleotides. RefSeq lists it as uncharacterized. NCBI's taxonomy places the organism in Eukaryota, Metazoa, Chordata, Actinopteri, Characiformes, Acestrorhamphidae. The record is from RefSeq and is a predicted model, not a curated record. The transcript has 2 exons.
CUCCCUCAGGACUGUGCUGCAAAAAAUCGGCCUGGAGGGCAAAGUGGCCCCUCAGCAGGCCAGAAAAAAGUGGGAUAACCUCAAAAAAAAAUACAAAGAGCUGAAGUGCCCACCAACAGGGAGUGGCACUGAAAAUGGGGAGGCCACUGCUGCAUCAUGGCCGUGGUUCACCAUCAUGGAUGAGGCUUUAGGACGGAGGCACUCCAUUGUGCCUCCUGUUCUAGUUGCCUCAAUGCAUGAUGGUGAACCAUGUUCAUCUCCAGCAGUGGCCCCUCCAGAAGCAGGGAAGGCAGGGAGAAAGAGAAGUGUGCUGGAACUUUUAGAGGAGGACAUGAGGAAGGAGGAGGAGAGAGAGGAAAAGCGAAUGAAGGCAGCUGAGGAAAGGGCAGAGAGAUAUUUUUCUUUGUUUGAAAAACUUAUUGAUAAAAUAAAGUAAACAAUGAAAUCUA